RNAcentral lists this ribosomal RNA (423 nucleotides) under uncultured bacterium. RNAcentral describes it as "partial 16S ribosomal RNA". It matches the Rfam family "Bacterial small subunit ribosomal RNA", at positions 359 to 774 of the family's 1533-position model. The record is from RNAcentral.
GAAUUUUCGGCAAUGGGGGGAACCCUGACCGAGCAAUGCCGCGUGAACGAUGAAGAUCUUCGGAUUGUAAAGUUCUGUUAUUAGGAAAGAACAGCAUAACUAGGAAAUGAGUUAUGUUUGACGGUACUUAAUGAGAAAGCCCCGGCUAACUAUGUGCCAGCCGCCGCGGUAAUACAUAGGGGGCAAGCGUUAUCCGGAAUUAUUGGGCGUAAAGCGUGCGUAGGCGGCUUAUUAAGUCUGACGUGAAAUUCCACAGCUUAACUGUGGAGGGUCGUUGGAAACUGGUAGGCUUGAGUACAGUAGAGGUAAGUGGAAUUCCAAGUGGAGCGGUGGAAUGCGUAGAUAUUUGGAGGAACACCAGUGGCGAAGGCGGCUUACUGGGCUGGAACUGACGCUGAUGCACGAAAGCGUGGGGAGCAAACA